AAGGCAUUUCUCGUCCAAGGUCCAACAUCAUGGGCGUCCAUGAUACCCUGGAGACAUUUUAGAGACUGGCCUGAAAUAUCACUCCAAGAAACUGGAGGGCUUGGGCUUGCUAACAAAACCAUUUGGGACAUCCUGACAGUGGGAUUAUCUACUCUGUGUGUCUUGUGGGUUAAAAGAGGAGAGAAAAGUCAGAAGAUGUUGAAGUCUGAAGAUACUCCAGCAGUUCUUACCCUCUUCACUCUGCUGUACCAUCCCCUGCCCUGACUCCAGCUAAAACUGAUUUUUUGUGUGAAAGGAGUAUUUUAGACUGUAGAUGUGCCCUGAAAUGCCUCAUCUCAGGGAGGGUGAGAAGAGCUUCUCUUAAGCAAGUGUGGUGUCUGCUUCUGGUGCUGUUUAUGGCAGAGCUGGAAACUGUCUUCGAAAUUAACAAUAGAUGUGCAUAAAUCUUCUUCAGUUACCUAGCAACUAAUACAAGACAACGCAGAGGUUCACAGGCUGGGUGGAGGUAAGCCUGUUUUAGGAAU
This 524-nucleotide long non-coding RNA is filed under the name Vulpes vulpes (red fox). RNAcentral describes it as "lncRNA (ENSVVUG00000014772.1)". Lineage: Eukaryota; Metazoa; Chordata; Mammalia; Carnivora; Canidae. The record is from RNAcentral.